ACGGGUGAGUAACACGUGGAUAACCUGCCCCUUUGUGGGGAAUACCGCUGGGAAACCGGCGACAAUACCGCAUAAGCUCGAGAGAGGAAAGCAGCAAUGCGCAGAGGGAGGGGUCCGCGGUCGAUUAGCUAGUUGGUGAGGUAAUGGCUCACCAAGGCUGUGAUCGAUAGCCGGCCUGAGAGGGCACACGGCCACACUGGCACUGAAACACGGGCCAGACUCCUACGGGAGGCAGCAGUGGGGAAUCUUGCACAAUGGGGGAAACCCUGAUGCAGCGACGCCGCGUGAGCGAUGAAGCCCUUCGGGGUGUAAAGCUCUUUCGGCAGGGAAGAUUAUGACGGUACCUGCAGAAGCAGCUGCGGCUAACUACGUGCCAGCAGCCGCGG
This 386-nucleotide ribosomal RNA is filed under the name uncultured bacterium. RNAcentral describes it as "bacterial SSU rRNA". It matches the Rfam family "Bacterial small subunit ribosomal RNA", at positions 102 to 520 of the family's 1533-position model. The record is from RNAcentral.